AAGCGCUGGCAACCAGACUCGAGCGCGGUGUUCCCCCUGGCUUCUGCCUGGGUUAUUUCACCGUGACCGGGCCAUCAUCAGUUUCGGGGGUUGGUUAAAGGUUCUGGGAAUGUACCCAUCCUCUCGGGGAUGGACUUAUAGCCCAGGGCGUCAUGCAGCCUCCCGGGACUGAGGAACGCGCUUCGGCGAGGAUGAUGGCGUAAUGGUUGUCAGCGA
Molecule: ribosomal RNA, 216 nt
Filed under: Trichomerium sp.
Lineage: Eukaryota; Fungi; Ascomycota; Eurotiomycetes; Chaetothyriales; Trichomeriaceae
Description: partial large subunit ribosomal RNA
Source: RNAcentral